ACAACAUUCGGACCGUCGGUCUACCGAGUAAUAUCACCCGCUCGGUGGAAGAUCUUCCCUCCGUCGU
Molecule: microRNA precursor, 67 nt
Filed under: Bombyx mori (domestic silkworm)
Lineage: Eukaryota; Metazoa; Arthropoda; Insecta; Lepidoptera; Bombycidae
Description: mir-2774 microRNA precursor family
Rfam family: mir-2774 microRNA precursor family
Source: Rfam by way of RNAcentral